GCAAAACCCGGGCCAUGGAAGCGGAGUAUGCGAACUUGACCACUGCAGCACUGGGCUGGCCAUAGGCAUGUACUUUGGAAAUGGCUUAUUUUAUUCAGCAAAUAUUCACACCCAAAGCUCUCCCAAUAGAAGAGGGGUGCAUUGCCCUACUGGAUUGAUGGUAGGCUUUUAACCACAUGUCUUUUGGAAUGUGACAUGAGUAAACACUUGAAACUUGCUCUCAUUAUUGGGCUUGUUCUCUCGGGCUUCUGCCAUCACUAUGAGAUAGCUUUCUCCCUGUAGUUGCUGCCUCUUCAACCUGAUUACAAGCGUUGCUGGACCCACAGCCUGGAUGAAGCUUUGCUGCUUGAAGCAGAGCUCCCUAUUCAAGGUCGGCCUGGGUCAGCCAAUGCCAGUGGAGUACACGAAUUAUUAUUGUAUGCUGCUGAGUUCAGGGGUGUUUAUUAUAUAUAAUUAUUGUUUCCUUAACCGAUGAUGUAUCUCACCGCACAGCUUUAUUUUUUUCUCCUUAGACCUUUUCACUGUUUCCAUGUUAUAUGUUUUGCUACUUUGCUUGUUUAUUAUUGAUUCUCAUGGCUAGAAUGUAAGGUGCACACAGUCAGGUGUUUUGCUUGCUUUAUUCAUUUCUGUAUACUCGACACCUGGAAAAGUGCUUGGUGUGUCGCACAUGCCUGAUAAAUAUUGUUGAAUGAAAAUAACGUAAUUAAGAUCCUCACUUCUCUGUGCCUAACUUCAUAAAAUAAUGAGUUUAGAUUCAUCUCUUCCUCUUUACAAAUCAAGAAACUGAAGCAUGGAUAAUUUAAAUGACUUGAUCAAUGUCCUAGGAUUAGAUCCAGCAGAUUCAUUAAAAUCUAUGGAUAGCUGCUGAUACUAUAACAUUUAAAUAUUAUUUUAGUAAAGCCCAAUAUAUUAGAAAACUGCUAUCUAGUUUAAAUCAUCACAAACUGUGAGCUGGCUUAAGUCAGUGGCUAGGUAUUAACAAUACAUAGAUAAUAUUAGGAAUAACUUGUCCUUGACUCUCCUCCACUGAAAUUAAGUAAUAGAAUUCAGAGGAUUUAAAGAUUUAGGGCCACAGAGUUCUGGCUAAUUGGAUUCAUUGUUGGAUUAGUCUUUUUCAAGAAUUAAGUAUCUUAACUUUUGGUGGCCAUGUUAUUCAGGACUAAGGUGUAAGGUAGUAAACCCAACAAGGUAAAUCUACUGGUACCAUAUCCUAGGGAGGAGGAAGGAGGUGGAAGAAUUCACUUCAUAUUAUUAUGAAGUGAAUGUGUCCCCCACAAUUCAUAUGUGGCAAUCCUACUCCCCACUAUGAUGGUAUUAGGAGGUGUGGCCUUUGGAAAGUGAUUAAGAUUAGAUGAGGUCAUAAGGGUGGAACUCUCAUGAAUAGGACUGGUGCCUUUAUAAGAGUCAGGAUGGAGCUCUGUUGCUCUGCUAUGUUUUCCAUCACAUGAGGACAGGAAUAGAGGAUGGCCGUGUGGAACCAGAAGAGGCUCUCACCAGAACCCAAGGGUGCAGGCUCUCUGAUCUCAGACUUCUAGCCUCGAAAACUGUACCAAGGAAAGGCCACAAGAACACAUAACCAGCAAAAGUGCCCUCACCAAGAACUUGACCAUGCUGGCAUCCUGACCUUGGACUUCCAGCUUCCAGAACCAUGGGAAAUAAAUGCCUGGGUCUAAGCCACCCAGUUUAUGGGUUAUAGCAGCCCUAACUAAGACACUGUGCUAGUAAGAACUGAGAUACGUUGGGGCAAGGUCUGCAUUCCAGAGGAAGGGCAGAAAACUCUGCAAAUUGGAGGAUAGGAAGCUAGAUCCCUCAUCUACACUUCCGUACAGCGAUGGAGAGUGACAUCAAACACACGGUGAUUACGAUGAGACCCAAACGCAAAUUCCCAACAUUGUCAACUUCCAAGAGGCAUGCAGUAUAUAGUUACAAGAUAUGGAAUUUAGCGUGAUCUUGAAUCCGUCCCCAUCAAGAGGGAGAAUCUAAUUCCUCUCAGCUUGAAUUUGGGCUGGCCUUAUAAUUGAAGUGUAACAAUUUAGAAUGAGGAGGAAACAACAACGCAUGGUUACCAAGACUAGUUCAGAAAGACCAUCUAGUAUCUACCUGCCGUAAUUCUCUUGGGAUGUUCAUUCUGGAGGAAGCCAGCUGCCAUAGAAGAGGACAGACCACCCUGAGACAGCCAUAAUGGAGAGACUCCACGUGGGUGUUCCAAUCUCCAGCUCCAAACGAGCUCAUGGCCCAAAGCCAGCAUCCACUGACAGCUAGCCACUUACGUGAACCAUCUUGGUUUUGCAGCAAAGUUGCGUUUUCUUGUGACUACAGCUAUAGAAAACAUCUAAGUGCAAGCACAUUAGAGAUUCCUUAUGACACCCUCUCAGCUAAGUCUUUCCAAAUUCCUGAUCCACAAAAUCAUGAGCAAGAGAAAAUGGAUGUUUUAUGUCACUAUGUUUUGAGGUCAUUUAUUAUGCAGUAAGAAUAGCAGAAGAAAAACCGUGAUAAUGUGUAUACGGUGCUUAUUAAAAUGUUAUUAGUAUAAUGUUUGUCGGGCAGGGAACACUUCUCCUGGAGUUUAAUAUUCAUUCAAUGAGGAGAGAGCUCUUUUAACAUACCUCUCCUGGACUCUCCAACUCGCCUUCUUCUCCCUAUGAGAACUAGGGGGAUGUCUGAUUGGUAACUCUAGGGACAGCAUAUUGUAUAAGCUUUUCCUAUCACUCCUUAUUUAUUUUCAGAAAGGACCUUCGUGUAGAGAUGAUAGGUUCUCCAUUGCUCCUAGCCAUCAUGCUAACCUUAGUGGUGAUGCUUACGUGAUGAGACGUAGGAAGAAGAGAUGUAGUCCUCUUCUUCCACAGGAGAGGGCUACAGGGUCUAAUGUUACUUGGGCCUAUGUUGGGUAAGUCCAUCUAAUUCUUUAGUUCACUAUAAGUACAUUCACUUACCUGUCGAUUUAAGCCACGUGAUAUUUUGUCCCCAUUUAUUUCUUUUGCCUUAGCUAGUGAUUGAGAAUUUAGGCAAGGAAAAAGGAUACUAUUAAUUAAGACCCAUUCUAAAAUCUACAAUGAUGAGCAUAUUUGCUAAGUCUAUUGUCAUAUUUGGGGAUGAAAUUAUUACUUUGAACCAUAUGGCAUUGAUGAUAUUUCAUUGUCUAUAACCUAAACAUUUAGCAAUUUCAUCAAAACUUUGACACUGUAUGAAUAAUAGGAAGUUUUGUUUUGUUUUGUUUUGUGCUGCAUUUCCCAAGCCCCUAUCAGGUGCCAAGUAAUCUGUUAAGAGCAUUUUCUGUUGAAAAGAUUAGUUGUUAAAUUUCAUUUGACUUAGAGCAUUGUUUUCCAAAGUAAGGCCUGAAGACCAUCCACAUGAUGCCAAUUGAUGAGUUUAUUAAAUAUGUACUCCUAGGACCUGUGCUAGACAUACUAGCUACUCUAAAUCAAUCUCAGAGAGUGGGAUUCUAGAAUCUGCAUUUUAACAGGCUCUCCAAGUGAUUUUUAUUGCAAAUACAAUCUCAUGCUACCUUCCAUGACAAGAGAGAUACGGUCUCAAUAUACUCUGUGACAGUGUUUAAUCAAACCUUACGCAUCAGACUUUAGGGAGUCUGUUAACAAUCAGAGUUUACUCAGAAUAAGAGGAACAUGUAUGUUUCAAAAAUUAUGUAAAAUGAUGAAGGUAAAAAAUAAAGUUUGUUAAAUAUUUACAAUAUGCUAAAGACUUUGAUUUGCAUUUUAUAAUAUACUCCAUCUUUUUUAUACCAAUAAGAGAAAUAAGUAUUAUUAUUAACAUUUUAAAGAUGAAGAAACUCAUACUGAAAAGAGUUCAAAUAAUAUUGCCAAAGCUGAAGCAUCAUAAACGGCAGAGCUGAAAUUCAAACAUACAUAUUCCUUACUUCAAAGCUCAGCUCAAUCAUUCAACUUCUGAAUUUUGGCUGUUGAAGAAACUAGGAAUAUUAAGAGAAAAGAGGCUUACCAUCCAGAAAAUAAGAUGGAGAUCUUAAAAAAUCUUUGGAGAAAAGUCUUGAUAGAAAAUGAAUAGUCUUAAUUUUUUUAUUCAGUGGAUAAAAGUUGUAUUUGGAAAAACAAAAGUAUAUUUGGGUUUCUAUAAUUGUUUUGUAACAAAUAAACCCAAUAAAAAUUAAAAGAUGUGUACUUUAAUAGAGAUAGGCCUUAGCAAACAAAAACUAGUUGAUUAUUUUCACAACUACUACAGAAAAAAAUUCUGCAUGUGGUUUUGGAUAACCUGGGGCAUAGAGUACAGAAUAAAAUAUCAUGGCCUUCUGGUUGCUUGGUGACUUUUUAUUGAUAAAAUAACUGAAGAUAAGGUAUCUCUCAUUCUUGGUAUAUACAUAAGGAUACAUCUAUUAAAUGAAGAGUAAAAGCUAUCUUUGAAAAGAGAAUUUUUAGGAAAUGUUACAAUAGACAGGAAAUUAAUAAAAGUAUUAGCUGGGAAUAUGAAGCUCCAAAUGAUAAGGGCUUACAGAUAUGAAAAUUAUUAUUUGAGUAAUCGCAUCUAAUGAAAUGUAGUAAAUUGACAUGAAAACAAUUACCUACAGUAUUAUAUGUCUAAUAUUUUUGGCAAUUUUAAACAAUUUGAUGGAAAUACAACUCCUUUCAGAUUUGGCAACUGUGUCAUUGUAAUAUCUAUGAUUUUCUGUUAAGAAAAUAUUAAAGCAAACUCUAUAUCAUUUCUCUGAGUUGCCAGAAGACUAUAAAUACCACUCACAUUUUAUAUAUUUGAUUGCCAACUUGCAUAUAUAAAAUAAGUAAAUCAAAAUAGUUUAACUAUAACCAAAAGAGAUAUACUCUCUUAAAAAAGCCAUCAUAAGGAGCAAAAGGGGAAAAGAAGGGUGAUGUAUUUCAAAGUACCUUCUUUCAAAAGGCAAAUAGUAAAUGGAUGGGGAAAUGCCUGUUUUAUCAAUCUAUGGAGUUACCAUGUUGCUAAAAGUGACAUGAUGAGUUGGAAGGAUAGAAAGUGUAUUUUGGAAAAACUGAUUUCAAAUGUUUCUGCUAUCAAUAUUGGUGCUUAUAUUUUAGAAAUAAUUGACUUUUGCAGACACUGAUUUAAAUUAGUGAAAAAAGAUUAAAGGAAGUUGCUCUUUAACAUUAAGAACAGAAAAGCGAUCUAUAAGCUUAAUCUUACUGUCUUUACAGAUGUGAAAAUGCCACUCCAUCAUGCCAUUAAUUCUCUACCUUUUCCUUUCUGUCUCACUUUUGUCUACUACUUGUAGUUUUAUGUGAAUUUUUAUGAAUAACAACAAUUAUGAAAAGCCAUGGAGUGUAGCGACACAUAUGAUAAAGUUUAAUUGAUUUCUAAGUAACUUGAAUACAUUCCAAUGAAAGGGCACCAAUUUACAUGGGAGUGGCAUCUGCCAAAAUGCUGUAUUUUGUUGUGUUUGUACUUAUUUCUACUUACUAGAUUCUAAAUUAUAUGAAAGCACAAACCUCUUCUACUACACAAAGACAAUUCUAAAGAGUAAAGAGUUUAAGGACAUCCAGACUUCUGUGAAUUUGAAUUACUUUUCAUCUUCACAGCACUGGGUUGGGGGGUUUGAAAUUGCAAUAAGAUAUUUUGUAGAUUCAAUGUAUGCCAGAAGUACACGUAAGCAAACAUAAGAAUACUAACAACCUAAGAUUUUGUGACUUGAAAAAUAUCAAGUACUACCCUUCAACUUUUUUCUUUUUUGAAUUUAUUUUUAGGCUGACUUUGUAGUAUACUACCUUUUUAAAAAUUAAAACAUUUAUUGGAUUCCUAAAGUUACUUGGUAAGUUGGAGUCCAAUGUGAGAUUUAAUAAUAUGCCAAACACCGAAAAUACAAUAAUAUUGGAAACCACUCUGCACUGGGUUGC
Molecule: long non-coding RNA, 5831 nt
Organism: Equus caballus (horse)
Lineage: Eukaryota; Metazoa; Chordata; Mammalia; Perissodactyla; Equidae
Source: RefSeq, a predicted model, not a curated record